Esox lucius (northern pike) is the source of this 2625-nucleotide long non-coding RNA. The record is from Ensembl. Lineage: Eukaryota; Metazoa; Chordata; Actinopteri; Esociformes; Esocidae.
GUCGAGAUACACACAGAGGAGAAGAGCUGAGAGGUCGAGAUACACACAGAGGAGAAGAGCUGAGAGGUCGAGAUACACACAGAGGAGAAGAAAGAUAUCAGACUGGGGAAUGUAUUGGAGGUCCUGCGGAGUUAGGUUCAGAAUGGACUGGAGAAUUACCAGAAUGAGAGACGUUGAGACUGACUGAAGGUGAGACUCUGAGAUGCUAAAAUAAACUGGUUGCCCCACGCUACGAGCUGCACAAAAUGAUGGAGCUGACAGUGAAUAGAGAUGUGGAGAACAGGUGUGUGAUGCUCUCAGUGAACUCCCUGAUGGCAAUGUGCUAACGCUGCCACGUUUAGCUCUUCUCGAACCUCAGCAGAACAUUGCUUCACUGCUCGUCUCAGCUUAUAGAGCACAGCGCUGGCAAUGCUAAUGUUGUUGGUUAGAUACUUAAAAAGGUUUGCAUGCAUUACUUAGUUGCUUUGUAUGAAAGGGCCAGCUGAAUUGUUAUUAUUAAAUAGAAUAUUAUGGUACCAUAAUAAUAUCAUGUAUGUAUAUAUUUGUGUGUGUGUGUGUGUGUAUAUAUAUAUAUACACACACACACACAUACAUACACAAUGUGCCUUAGGAAAGUAUUCAGUGUUCUUUUUCUUCAUGCUCUCAGAGUCCUUCAGGCAGCACGGAUACUCCUUUAACUCAGGCCUUUAUGGCCACUCUACCAUAAAGGCCUGAUUGAUGGAGUUCUGCGGGGUGGGUUCUCCUACUGGCAGGUUCUCCCAUCUCAGCAGAGAAACUCUGACACUCGGUUGGAGUGGCCAUUGGGUUCGAGGUCCCCUCCCUGACCGAGGCCCUACUUUCCCGAUUAAUUCGUUUGGCCAGACGGCCGCCUCUAGAUGAUUCUUAGAGGUUCCAAACCUCUUCCCUUUCACAAUGAUGGUACCCACUGUGUUCCUGGGAACCCCCAAUCCUGCUCUACUGGGGUUUCUUUAUACCUCCAUUGAUGAGGUCCCAAUGGGAGGCAGCUGUACAAGGGCAGGGCUUGGUAGCUGUACAGGGGCAGGGCUGGGCUUGGUAGCUGUACAGGGGCAGGGCUGGCCUUGGUAGCUGUACAUGGGCAGGGCUGGGCUUGAUAGCUGUAAAGGGGCAGGGCUGGCCUUGCUGGCUGUACAGGGGCAGGGCUGGCCUUGGUAGCUGUACAGGGGCAGGGCUGGCCUUGCUGGCUGUACAGGGGCAGGGCUGGCCUUGGUAGCUGUACAGGGGCAGGGCUGGGCUUGGUAGCUGUACAGGGGCAGGGCUGGCCUUGCUGGCUGCCUCCGUAAGGUCAUGGAACCUGAUAGCUUUCUCCAAUCGGGGCACCGGUGUCCUACUAAUGUAGAAUCACAGCAACAUGUCAAGGCACCAUGGCGCAAUACCUUACUGAGACACUUAAUGUCACAGUAAUGUUGUUUUUCUUUUAAUUUGUCACCUGCCUGUAUGUAAUAAAUGUAUAUUUAAUACCCAAGGUUUAAUUGAACUACUAUGUGGGAUUGCAUUCAAUGCCUGUUCUUUCCUAGUGCCAUACUGUGUUCAUGUUUUAUUUACCAGCUGUAUAAUACAGACCUCACUGCAUGUUAUUUCACUGUACUGUCUGGACUACAUGUGGCAAUGGAGAAAGCAGCAACCCUUAGUAUUAGAUAACGUAUGUAUAUUUUAUUACUUGGCAUUUCCUUCACAAACAUUCAAAUACUUUUUUUAUUUUUUUCGAUUUCGAGCGCCAGGACCUACUCCAUUCCCAAAUGGGAUUUGAACCUAUUCAAGAAUACUCUUCCCCCAAAAAAUGGCCUCCAACUUUUCUGUGUCUGUGAGUGUCAUUGUUUUAUUCAUAGACCUCAUCAAAGAGCCCAUUUCAUUGUAGUAAAAUGUAAAAAAAUAAAUAAACUGUGGAUCUUAAGUCAUCCGCUCUGCCUAAUGAAUAAUGCAUCACAGACUCAGUGAAAAUGCUCACGUCGGUUAUUGUUGCCCCGGUUGUCCAUGAAAAAUGCAUCCUAACAUUUCAUUUUCCUUUUUCCAAACACAUAACCUCCACUUGUACUUUCAUCCAACGUCUCAUCCCGUCUUCUUAAUCUAAUAAUUUGCAUCCAAUGUGUGUUAUAAUUCUGACGAUAUCUCAUUAAUAACAAGCCCUUUGUCCUCUUGGUGUAAACUGCGUCUUUGGGGUGGGUAACUCUUUCUAAAUGUUCCCUGUUGCUGUUCCUAAUUACCUGUACAAAGUAGUAACUUGACUGUUGGAUUACCUAAAUGUUGUAGCACAAUCGGAUUACUUUCCUUUUAAAAGGCAUUAGAUGAAGACAAAAAGGAACAUUACCAAUUGAGCAACAGUCUGUGGCAAGAUUAAUCAAUGUCAGAGUUUACAUAGCCGCCAUAAACGGACGCUGCACUUUACUUUAGGGAUUAGGUACAACAUGUUUCUCAUUUUAGUCAGCUGCCAAUAUUAGGUACCGUGUGACUUUUCUGAGGUCCAGAGAAAGGAGAGUCACAUGGCCUUACCUGUACUCUGCAGUGUUCUAGUACCUGAGUAGUAGCAGCUAUACAGCUUAGAAAUAACCCAUUCAGAUUUGUAUAUGUGCUUCCUUACAUACUAAAUAAAAUAAAAGUGAACUAUCA